Molecule: long non-coding RNA, 377 nt
Filed under: Mytilus galloprovincialis (Mediterranean mussel)
Lineage: Eukaryota; Metazoa; Mollusca; Bivalvia; Mytilida; Mytilidae
Source: RNAcentral
GGGUUGGUGAAAUAAAUCAAUGGGUUCUAAUUCGGUCAUUCAUAUAUAUCCAUAUGUAAAUGUUUAGCCUUGAAUGGCCUGUUUAUUUUGCGCAGUAAAAAAAAUAAAGCAUAUUUUUGAAUGAGGUGUAUAUCCGGCGAGCGGGAAUCCAAUUCUGAAAAGGGUUCAUAAAAUAUUAUCCUUUUUUCCUCAAAUACCAAAGAAUAAACAGUUAUCGGUGAAUGAUCAAUGGAAAGCAACAUAUUCAGAGUUUACAAAAAAUGUAAGAAUGGUUAGUCUAAGUGAUAAGUUAUUGAAAUAAUGACGAUUUUAUUUUUUGGGUCCGGACCCGGUCGGAGGGAAUCCGGAUUUACUCGGUCGGCGGGAGGAUAUAGGGG